Molecule: long non-coding RNA, 754 nt
Organism: Gossypium arboreum
Lineage: Eukaryota; Viridiplantae; Streptophyta; Magnoliopsida; Malvales; Malvaceae
Exons: 3
Source: RefSeq, a predicted model, not a curated record
AAUUGUGUGGGCUGCCUUUGUCAAGGAAAUGCAAAGAAGUUGGUCUUCCAAUGCCAGCACUUCCAGGGGAAGAUGAAGAAUCAUGGUUAUAUGCUAUGUCUACAUGGAAAAUUGCGUUGAUAGGUUAUGCUAGUGGAUUGGUGGUUGGGCUAUGUAUUGGAUAUACAGUGUUGAAUGAGUUGGGAAACAAAUGGGUUGAGAAAUUCAAAAAGUCUGGGAAAAGAAAUAGAAGAAGAUGUAGGUGACUUCAUCAGAAUUCUUGUUUCAAAAUUAGCUGCAAUGCAGGACAUGGAGUAUCCAGUUAGGAGGUACGUUAUCUUUGAAGAAAAUGGUACUUGAUCCAAGACAUGGAAUGAACGGUUAUGAGGUACAUGAAGAAUCUAGGCAGUGAUCCUAACAAUGAUCCUAACAGCUGAGGAGAUUUGGUGGCUUGAUGCUGAUGAAAGCCUUAUCUGAUGGACAUUGGACUGAUUGUGUAAAGAGGCACAGAUGCUGCUACUCCCACCCUUUGCUCUUCCAAAGAGACAUUAGCUUUAUAUUUUAUCAAUCAUGUGUUGGGUUUUAGGUCCGGGUGUAAAGGGUGGACCUGUUGGUUCGGGUUUUAGUUCAGCCCGACACUUGUUUUUCUGCUAGUCUAUUUAUCUUUUUAAUGAUAAUUUUAUUAUUUUAAAAAAUACCAUUCAAUUAAACUUUGUAUGUAAUAAUACGAUAAAAAAAAGAAUUAAAAUAUAAUGAAAGAAAUGUCGUCUUAGAA